AGAGUUUGAUCAUGGCUCAGGAUGAACGCUGGCGGCGUGCCUAACACAUGCAAGUCGAGCGAUUCUCUUCGGAGAAGAGCGGCGGACGGGUGAGUAACGCGUGGGUAACCUGCCCUGUACACACGGAUAACAUACCGAAAGGUAUGCUAAUACGGGAUAAUGUACUUUUGUCGCAUGGCAAAAGUAUCAAAGCUCCGGCGGUACAGGAUGGACCCGCGUCUGAUUAGCUAGUUGGAGAGGUAAUGGCUCAUCAAGGCAACGAUCAGUAGCCGACCUGAGAGGGUGAUCGGCCACAUUGGAACUGAGACACGGUCCAAACUCCUACGGGAGGCAGCAGUGGGGAAUAUUGCACAAUGGGCGAAAGCCUGAUGCAGCAACGCCGCGUGAGCGAUGAAGGCCUUCGGGUCGUAAAGCUCUGUCCUCAAGGAAGAUAAUGACGGUACUUGAGGAGGAAGCCCCGGCUAACUACGUGCCAGCAGCCGCGGUAAUACGUAGGGGGCUAGCGUUAUCCGGAAUUACUGGGCGUAAAGGGUGCGUAGGUGGUUUCUUAAGUCAGAGGUGAAAGGCUACGGCUCAACCGUAGUAAGCCUUUGAAACUGAGAAACUUGAGUGCAGGAGAGGAGAGUAGAAUUCCUAGUGUAGCGGUGAAAUGCGUAGAUAUUAGGAGGAAUACCAGUUGCGAAGGCGGCUCUCUGGACUGUAACUGACACUGAGGCACGAAAGCGUGGGGAGCAAACAGGAUUAGAUACCCUGGUAGUCCACGCCGUAAACGAUGAGUACUAGGUGUCGGGGGUUACCCCCCUCGGUGCCGCAGCUAACGCAUUAAGUACUCCGCCUGGGGAGUACGGUCGCAAGAUUAAAACUCAAAGGAAUUGACGG
This 879-nucleotide ribosomal RNA is filed under the name uncultured bacterium. RNAcentral describes it as "bacterial SSU rRNA". It matches the Rfam family "Bacterial small subunit ribosomal RNA", at positions 8 to 916 of the family's 1533-position model. The record is from RNAcentral.